Molecule: long non-coding RNA, 789 nt
Filed under: Chinchilla lanigera (long-tailed chinchilla)
Lineage: Eukaryota; Metazoa; Chordata; Mammalia; Rodentia; Chinchillidae
Description: lncRNA (ENSCLAG00000023980.1)
Source: RNAcentral
UGCAAAGGUGCUGAGUGAUUGGGUGGGGCCAUGCCCCUCCCCCCACCCCCACCGCGGGGCCCUGGAGGAAGGGGAUGAACUCUACAAGGCCCUCUCCGCAGAGAAACCUGGUCUUGUGAACUGCAACACAUAUCUGGGAGGAUGGGUUUCCCAAGGCACUGCCACUGCCUGCCCCUGCUCUGGGGGCUCUGCUGCUCCCAGGUCCCCAGCUGGAGCCCCCCAGCCCUGCUCCCUAAUUCCAGCGGAGCAGGCACCGUGCCCGCAUGCCCAAUUGAUUCUCCCAGCACACACAGUCAACAGGGUCCAGGAAGAUAGUCGAGCCUGGUGUUGAUUACCACGAGUGGGCCCUCUGCGGAGAAGCUGACAGCUGUCCCUGAGCUCUAUUAUCUGGACACACUACUGGAGUGGGAGCCUACAGAGAUGACCCAGUCACCGCCCCAAGCACUGAGCACUUGAGGUGUGGCGACAAAGGAACCAAAGAGGACUUCAUUUCCAUUUGGGGGCAGGGCAGGAAGAAAGAGAGGGGGUGCUGCAGCAGGACGGAUGGAGGAUCGAUAUCAAGGGGAACUUCCAGUGGAACGAAGCUUUGCUUUCUGAGCUGUGAUAAAUGCUCUGCUGGGCUGUGGGAAAGGGGCUGGGAUGGAAAUGGCAUUGGCUGGGCCUAUAGCCAAUGGGAACUUCCCCAUAGAAGAUGCCACUUAAAAAUGUUAUUACACCCUCAGGACUUUUAAAGUGAAGAAUAAAGUAACCAUGAACACCCUUUAAAGUAAUAUUGAGAGUUCCGAAGAG